GACGAACGCUGGCGGCGUGCUUAACACAUGCAAGUCGAACGGAAAGGCCCUGCUUUUGUGGGGUGCUCGAGUGGCGAACGGGUGAGUAACACGUGAGUAACCUCCCCUUGACUUUGGGAUAACUUCAGGAAACUGGGGCUCAUACCGGAUAGGAGCUCCUGCUGCAUGGUGGGGGUUGGAAAGUUUCGGCGGUUGGGGGUGGACUCGCGGCUUAUCAGCUUGUUGGUGGGGUAGUGGCUUACCAAGGCUUUGACGGGUAGCCGGCCUGAGAGGGUGACCGGCCACAUUGGGACUGAGAUACGGCCCAGACUCCUACGGGAGGCAGCAGUGGGGAAUAUUGCACGAUGGGCGGAAGCCUGAUGCAGCAACGCCGCGUGCGGGAUGACGGCCUUCGGGUUGUAAACCGCUUUCGCCUGUGACGAAGCGUGAGUGACGGUAAUGUGUAAAGAAGCACCGGCUAACUACGUG
This 468-nucleotide ribosomal RNA is filed under the name uncultured bacterium. RNAcentral describes it as "partial 16S ribosomal RNA". It matches the Rfam family "Bacterial small subunit ribosomal RNA", at positions 28 to 507 of the family's 1533-position model. The record is from RNAcentral.